AAAGGAAUAGACGGGGACCCGCACAAGCAGCGGAGCAUGUGGUUUAAUUCGAAGCAACGCGAAGAACCUUACCAGGACUUGACAUAAUAUUGACCGGUAUAGAGAUAUGCCUUUCUCUUCGGAGACAGUAUUACAGGUGGUGCAUGGUUGUCGUCAGCUCGUGUCGUGAGAUGUUGGGUUAAGUCCCGCAACGAGCGCAACCCUUAUCUUUAGUUGCCAGCACGUAAAGGUGGGAACUCUAAAGAGACUGCCGUCGAUAAGACGGAGGAAGGUGGGGAUGACGUCAAAUCAUCAUGCCCUUUAUGUCCUGGGCUACACACGUGCUACAAUGGCUGGCACAAAGAGAAGCGAAACAGUGAUGUCAAGCAAAUCUCACAAAGCCAGUCCCAGUUCGGAUUGUUCUCUGCAACUCGAGAACAUGAAGUCGGAGUUGCUAGUAAUCGCAGAUCAGAAUGCUGCGGUGAAUGCGUUCCCGGGUCUUGUACACACCGCCCGU
RNAcentral lists this ribosomal RNA (496 nucleotides) under uncultured bacterium. Its description in RNAcentral is "bacterial SSU rRNA". It matches the Rfam family "Bacterial small subunit ribosomal RNA", at positions 903 to 1397 of the family's 1533-position model. The record is from RNAcentral.